Molecule: ribosomal RNA, 468 nt
Filed under: uncultured bacterium
Lineage: Bacteria
Description: partial 16S ribosomal RNA
Rfam family: Bacterial small subunit ribosomal RNA
Source: RNAcentral
GACGAACGCUGGCGGCGUGCUUAACACAUGCAAGUCGAACGGAAAGGCCCUGCUUUUGUGGGGUGCUCGAGUGGCGAACGGGUGAGUAACACGUGAGUAACCUGCCCUUGACUUUGGGAUAACUUCAGGAAACUGGGGCUAAUACCGGAUAGGAGCUCCUGCUGCAUGGUGGGGGUUGGUAAGUUUCGGCGGUUGGGGAUGGACUCGCGGCUUAUCAGCUUGUUGGUGGGGUAGUGGCUUACCAAGGCUUUGACGGGUAGCCGGCCUGAGAGGGUGACCGGCCACAUUGGGACUGAGAUACGGCCCAGACUCCUACGGGAGGCAGCAGUGGGGAAUAUUGCACAAUGGGCGGAAGCCUGAUGCAGCAACGCCGCGUGCGGGAUGACGGCCUUCGGGUUGUAAACCGCUUUCGCCUGUGACGAGGCGUGAGUGACGGUAAUGGGUAAAGAAGCACCGGCUAACUACGUG